AACGAACGCUGGCGGCAGGCUUAACACAUGCAAGUCGAACGCACCGCAAGGUGAGUGGCAGACGGGUGAGGAACACGUGGGAACAUCACCUUCAGUUCGGAAUAACUCAGGGAAACUUGAGCUAAUACCGGAUACGUCCGUGAGGAGAAAGAUUUAUCGCUGAAGGAAUGGCCCGCGUCUGAUUAGCUAGUUGGUGAGGUAACGGCUCACCAAGGCUACGAUCAGUAGCUGAUCUGAGAGGAUGAUCAGCCACAUUGGGACUGAGACACGGCCCAAACUCCUACGGGAGGCAGCAGUGGGGAAUAUUGGACAAUGGGCGCAAGCCUGAUCCAGCCAUGCCGCGUGAGUGAUGAAGGCCUUCGGGUUGUAAAGCUCUUUUGUCCGGGAAGAUAAUGACUGUACCGGAAGAAUAAGCCCCGGCAAACUUCGUGCCAGCAGCCGCCGCCG
This 447-nucleotide ribosomal RNA is filed under the name uncultured bacterium. Its description in RNAcentral is "partial 16S ribosomal RNA". It matches the Rfam family "Bacterial small subunit ribosomal RNA", at positions 29 to 523 of the family's 1533-position model. The record is from RNAcentral.